Molecule: ribosomal RNA, 469 nt
Filed under: uncultured bacterium
Lineage: Bacteria
Description: partial 16S ribosomal RNA
Rfam family: Bacterial small subunit ribosomal RNA
Source: RNAcentral
GACGAACGCUGGUGGCGUGCUUAACACAUGCAAGUCGAACGAUGAAGCCUUAGCUUGCUUUGGUGGAUUAGUGGCGAACGGGUGAGUAACACGUGAGCAACGUGCCCAGGACUCUGGAAUAACCGCGGGAAACCGUGGCUAAUACCGGAUAGGUGCCGAGGCCGCAUGGUCUUCGGUUGGAAAGUUUUUGCGGUUCUGGAUCGGCUCACGGCCUAUCAGCUUGUUGGUGGGGUAAUGGCCUACCAAGGCGACGACGGGUAGCCGGCCUGAGAGGGUGACCGGCCACACUGGGACUGAGACACGGCCCAGACUCCUACGGGAGGCAGCAGUGGGGAAUAUUGCACAAUGGGCGCAAGCCUGAUGCAGCAACGCCGCGUGGGGGAUGACGGCCUUCGGGUUGUAAACCUCUUUUAGUAGGGAAGAAGCGCAAGUGACGGUACCUGCAGAAAAAGCACCGGCUAACUACGUG